RNAcentral lists this ribosomal RNA (541 nucleotides) under type I methanotroph metano-I. RNAcentral's name for it is "bacterial SSU rRNA". It matches the Rfam family "Bacterial small subunit ribosomal RNA", at positions 440 to 973 of the family's 1533-position model. The record is from RNAcentral. Lineage: Bacteria; Pseudomonadati; Pseudomonadota; Gammaproteobacteria; Methylococcales; Methylococcaceae.
UUGGGAGGAAAACCUACCGGUCAAUACCCGGUAGCUUGACAUUACCUUUAGAAGAAGCACCGGCUAACUCCGUGCCAGCAGCCGCGGUAAUACGGAGGGUGCGAGCGUUAAUCGGAAUUACUGGGCGUAAAGCGUGCGUAGGCGGUUCGUUAAGUCAGAUGUGAAAGCCCUGGGCUCAACCUGGGAACUGCAUUUGAAACUGGCGGACUAGAGUUUAGUAGAGGGGAGUGGAAUUUCAGGUGUAGCGGUGAAAUGCGUAGAUAUCUGAAGGAACACCAGUGGCGAAGGCGACUCCCUGGACUAGAACUGACGCUGAGGUACGAAAGCGUGGGUAGCAAACAGGAUUAGAUACCCUGGUAGUCCACGCCGUAAACGAUGUCGACUAGCCGUUGGUCCUAUUUACAGGAUUAGUGGCGCAGCUAACGCAUUAAGUCGACCGCCUGGGGAGUACGGCCGCAAGGUUAAAACUCAAAUGAAUUGACGGGGGCCCGCACAAGCGGUGGAGCAUGUGGUUUAAUUCGAUGCAACGCGAAAAACCUUA